RNAcentral lists this ribosomal RNA (2439 nucleotides) under Triticum aestivum (bread wheat). RNAcentral describes it as "partial small subunit ribosomal RNA". Lineage: Eukaryota; Viridiplantae; Streptophyta; Magnoliopsida; Poales; Poaceae. The record is from RNAcentral.
AUGGGGAACAUACAAAAGUGGACGGCGUCCAGGGAUGUAAUUCUCUACCUGUGGCACGUUCAGCUGGGUGCUGCCAAUGCAAAGGAUAUUGUUUUGUAUUGGAGUUUUGCUAUAAAACUCCUCCACGGCCCUCUUGGUAAAGCAUCUAACCUAGAUCUUAACCGUCCCCCUUUCUUUCUAUCUUCAUUCAUCUCCUUCUCUCUGUUCCCUACGCCACCGCCGCCGCCGACGCCGAAAUCGCCACCAACUGCCUCCCCCACCCCUCCUUCACCGCUCCCAACUGCGUCCACCGCCACCAUCUGCGGCCACUGCCCCAAGCUUCAUGGCUGGCGGCCGGCGCGGCGGUUCUUCGAUGCGGCCCAAGGACGGCCGCCGCAGCGGAGCUCCUCCGGUAGCGCGGCAGCUGGAGAUGCCCUCAGGUUAGCUCCCAACUCCGACCAUCGCCACCCCCUCCUCCACCACCUCACCGCCCCUUUCCCAGACUUGGGACGAACCCUAGGAGGCGUGGCUCGGUGGUUGCGUCCUUGCUUGCCGGCGCUGCCGCCUGUCGUCAUGCCUACCCAGCCGGUCAUCUCCCUCCCCGGGCAGCCCCCCGAGCCCCUUUCGGCCCCCUUCUACGGCAGCAGGUUGCGCCGCUGUGGGCUGCUGCCAUGUCCAAUCUAUGGAAGUCGUAAGUACUUGAGAGUCCCGAGUGGUAGGGCCGAGUCGUCCGCCUCCCAUCAGGCCACUUCCGAGGACGAGUCAUCUGCCUCCUAUCAGGCCACUCCCGAGGACGAGUCAUCAUCGGAUGGCGAUGUCGGAGUGGACUUAGAUGAACGAGAUCCGCUCGUUACCAAGUCGGGCGACAUGGAGACCUCGAACGGCUCGGGGUCUACCUCGAGCAACACUUCCAAGAGGAAGAAAUCCGGGCGUGGUCCGGGGAAGGUCCCGGAACCAACUGCUGCCAACAACCGUCCUGUAAUUUGCCCGACAGGAGAGGGUCAGUGUACAUUUAUCCCGACACAACCUAAGGGGGCACGCCCGCCGAACCACGUCAUCGGCUCCCUCUUGAGGAAGCACUUCCGUGGAUUGUCCAAGAUGGGUGAUGACGAUCCGCCAUCGCCAGGCUUAACCUGGGAGCAUUACCUGCAGAACAAGGACGAGCACGAUGUCACCAUGGCCACCCGGGUCAUCAAUGCUUUUUUGAAACAUUUGCUUGCGUGGAUGGUGAAGGAACCCUGGAUGAAGGAGGAUUGUUGGGAGGCCCUGGUUGACAUGUGGUGUGACCCAGCAUGGCAGGUGCAUCAUGUGGAGAAGGGAAACAAUCGAGCCAAAAUGACAUGCCCAGCUCAUGUCCAGGGGAGCCGGAACCUAAUCGCUCUCAAGCAACACAUGAUAUGUGGAUUAAGAUGUUCACUUUUUCACACGGUGCAUCUUGGUUCAUUAAACUUGAUGGGGAAGGAUGGCACCGAGUUCUGCAGCGAGCCGGCGGAGGAGAAGUGGGGGAACUUCAAAGAGGUCUUCCAGGAGGUGCACGGGCAGGAAGCCGAACCUACGUCCAAGCCCCUUGAUCCUGAGCUUCUCAUCAUUGCUGGCGAGGGGAAGGGCCAUGGCCGCCACCUCCUUUGCAACGGGGCGAUCACCACCUACUCGCAUCGCAAGCUGCAUGAGAUACGCGCGUAUAGCACCAGCUCAACUCCGUCCAUACGGAGUCGCCCAACCGCCGCAUCACGUGAGAUAGCGCAUCUCAAGGAUUUAAUGACGCAGCGGGCUGUUGAAGAGGAGCAAAGGCGGAAGGCUGAGGAGGAGUCCAGAGAAAAGGAACGGGCAGACACUAACAAUUGGUUGAAGAUGCUUGAGGAUCAACUACAGUUCUUAUGCAAUCUCGAAGCAGUGCAAGUGAUGCCCCUCCUCCUCCUCCGGAAUGUUAACCUGAUGGCCUCUCCUCCUCAAGAUGAUCUAUAUAUGAACAAGUGUACUUCUAUUGUGACGUGCACGUGUUUUGCAAGUAGUGACAAUAUGGAUCAGAAAAGAAAUAGCUUAACAGCAGAAUGGAUGGGAAAGAUUUUCGAGAGCAACACUCGGAAAAAGAGGUACUACCGAGAGCACCUCUCGAAAAUUUGGUCGUCUGGGAGACACUACCGCUGUGCCACACCUUUUCCGGGGGCAGCUCUCGGAAAUGAAUAUACUACCGAGAGCACCUCUCGGAAAUCUGGUCGUCUGGGAGACACUACUGCUGUGCCACACCUUUUCCGAGUGCAGCUCUCAAAAAUGAAGGCGAGCAUUGCCGAGACAAGCUCUCGGCAAAGUUAUGUAAAGAACGCAGUAACUGACGGAGCCGUCUGUUGCGGACGGACAUGCCACGUGGCUCCUCUUUGCCGUGAGCUGCUCUCUGCACGGUUUGCCGUGCGAUGCCUCUUUGCCGUGGGCAGUGACGGCAAAGAAGGCAGUUUGCCGUGA